Molecule: ribosomal RNA, 386 nt
Filed under: uncultured bacterium
Lineage: Bacteria
Description: bacterial SSU rRNA
Rfam family: Bacterial small subunit ribosomal RNA
Source: RNAcentral
AUUGAACGCUGGCGGCAUGCCUUACACAUGCAAGUCGAACGGCAGCGGACCUUCGGGUGCCGGCGAGUGGCGAACGGGUGAGUAAUAUAUCGGAACGUACCUUUCAGUGGGGGAUAACGUAGCGAAAGUUACGCUAAUACCGCAUAUUCUGUGAGCAGGAAAGCAGGGGAUCGCAAGACCUUGCGCUGAUUGAGCGGCCGAUAUCAGAUUAGCUAGUUGGUGAGGUAAAGGCUCACCAAGGCGACGAUCUGUAGCGGGUCUGAGAGGAUGAUCCGCCACACUGGAACUGAGACACGGUCCAGACUCCUACGGGAGGCAGCAGUGGGGAAUUUUGGACAAUGGGCGCAAGCCUGAUCCAGCCAUGCCGCGUGGGUGAAGAAGGCCUC